GACGAACGCUGGCGGCGUGCUUAACACAUGCAAGUCGAACGGAAAGGCCCUGCUUUUGUGGGGUGCUCGAGUGGCGAACGGGUGAGUAACACGUGAGUAACCUGCCCUUGACUUUGGGAUAACUUCAGGAAACUGGGGCUAAUACCGGAUAGGAGCUCCUGCUGCAUGGUGGGGGUUGGAAAGUUUCGGCGGUUGGGGAUGGUCUCGCGGCUUAUCAGCUUGUUGGUGGGGUAGUGGCUUACCAAGGCUUUGACGGGUAGCCGGCCUGAGAGGGUGACCGGCCACAUUGGGACUGAGGUAGGGCCCAGACUCCUACGGGAGGCAGCAGUGGGGAAUAUUGCACAAUGGGCGGAAGCCUGAUGCAGCAACACCGCGUGCGGGAUGACGGCCUUCGGGUUGUAAACCGCUGUCGCCUGUGACGAAGCGUGAGUGACGGUAAUGGGUAAAGAAGCACCGGCUAACUACGUG
RNAcentral lists this ribosomal RNA (468 nucleotides) under uncultured bacterium. RNAcentral's name for it is "partial 16S ribosomal RNA". It matches the Rfam family "Bacterial small subunit ribosomal RNA", at positions 28 to 507 of the family's 1533-position model. The record is from RNAcentral.